Long non-coding RNA from Ruditapes philippinarum (Manila clam), 1542 nucleotides. RefSeq lists it as uncharacterized. The transcript is spliced from 6 exons. The record is from RefSeq and is a predicted model, not a curated record. Lineage: Eukaryota; Metazoa; Mollusca; Bivalvia; Venerida; Veneridae.
UCAGGACCGCUUGUGGCAUUCGAUUUUAACUGGAAUAUUGCUUAUUCAUUUUUCAAAAGCAGCUCUACCUACCGGAUGUGAUGACGGAACUCAUAGUUGCCCCGCCAACUCUGCUUGUACGUCAGAUACUUGUGUUUGCAGUGACGGUUUUAAGCUCAAUACCGCCGCAGACGGUUGUGUGGCAAAAGCGAAAGUGACAGAUACAGACUGUACAAAAGGCACUGCAGACCAGUGUACAGGUAUUGAACAUGCAGAAUGUAAUAAUGCUGCAACUAGUGCUUAAUGUAAAUGUUCUAAUGGCUAUGCAGCGGAUAGAAAGACUGGCACUUCUUGUUUUAAAACUGUUAGCAGCAUAACUUGUACAGCGGAUGGAAAAGAAUGUGAUGUCAUUAAAAACUCACAUUGUGUGUCCACAAAGUGCCAAUGCGACGAUGGCUUUGCAAUGAAUGUUGAUAUUUGUGCGGCAGAAAGUUCAGCUAUAUCUCUUCACUUUGGCAGUUUGACGUUGUUCUUCUUGGUUUCAACUAUGGUUCGGCACUUGUUCUGAUUGUGAGUCAGGAAGAUACUUCUUUUGGUGAUUUUUUUUUCAAACUUGUGUAUCGUGUGUACUUCUUUAGAUUUUUGAUGUGUAUGAUGUAUAAUUAAAAUGAUUCAUUGUUGAUCAAGAGAAGAACUGAACUGCUGAACAGUUUUUGUAUUAGUUUUAUUUUUAGUUUUUUUUCUUUCUUUUUUAUUCCUAAAGAUUGUUAACCUUACAUUUUAAGUUUAAAGUUAAUUAUGCCUAGUAUUCAAAUGCAAAUUGACAUUGAAUAUGAAAUAUUAGUCAGUCACCAUGAAUAAAGAUAUUAUUUUGAAAUAUUUAGUCUAUUUAUCAUUAAAUAUACUAAUUAAACUCAAAUUGACAGCGAAAAAAAUGCAUUAUGUUACUUUAAAGCUCUAUAUUAAACAAAACAUUUUAGUGUUUGUAUAUUAAAAACAUAUAUAUACAUGCAUAUAUUAACUGUCUAAAUAUUCUUUUUUGCUUGUAACAUUGAAUUAAACUUUUAAAAGCUUCAUGUUGACAUAUACAUUUAAUUUAACCCCACUGUCAAGUUAAGCAUGUUAAAUAGAGAAAUUUGCUUGCUUUCAAUUGGUCAUUGCUAAUGUAACAGACACAGAUAGCACUAUUGACAUAAAUAGAAAUUUGUCAAUUAAUUUUUUUCAAUUUAAAUAAUGAUUUGUUAAACAUUUUGUAAUAAGAUUAAUUGCAUUGAAUUUGAAGAAAUUGGUUUAUUGAAACUACAAAUGCUAUUCUUUCCUUAUCAUGGAAAUUCUUUAACGAUAAGCAGUUGUUGACCAAAUAAUAAUUUAUACAUAUUACUAUAAUGAUCAAGAAUUUGUUCAGAAGAAAUGUGCGAGUACAACAAUAAAUAGCAAAUAUUGUUUUAUAAAAUACAUAAGGAUUUAAUGCAUUACACAGGCUAUCAUCCAAAUCACGAUCAAAUGUUAAUUUAAAUGCAUGAAACACAUUGUACACUCAAUAAAAUGUUGUUACUGAAAGCA